This 433-nucleotide ribosomal RNA is filed under the name uncultured bacterium. RNAcentral's name for it is "partial 16S ribosomal RNA". It matches the Rfam family "Bacterial small subunit ribosomal RNA", at positions 29 to 507 of the family's 1533-position model. The record is from RNAcentral.
AACGAACGCUGGCGGCAUGCCUAACACAUGCAAGUCGAACGAGACCUUCGGGUUUUGUGGCGCACGGGUGCGUAACGCGUGGGAACCUGCCCUUAGGUUCGGAAUAACUCCCCGAAAGGGGUGCUAAUACCGGAUAAGGUCUUCGGACCAAAGAUUUAUCGCCUUUGGGUGGGCGCGCGUUGGAUUAGCUAGUUCGUAGGGUAAAAGCCUACCAGGGCGACGAUCCAUAGCUGGUCUGAGAGGAUGAUCAGCCACACUGGGACUGAGACACGGCGCAGACUCCUACGGGAGGCAGCAGUGGGGAAUAUUGGACAACGGGGGAUGGGCUGAGCCAGCAAUGCCGCGUGAGUGAUGAAGGGCUUGGGGUUGUAAAGCUCUUUUACCCGGGAUGAUAAUGACAGUACCGGGAGAAUAAGCGCCGGCUAACUACGUG